Molecule: non-coding RNA, 23 nt
Filed under: Cricetulus griseus (Chinese hamster)
Lineage: Eukaryota; Metazoa; Chordata; Mammalia; Rodentia; Cricetidae
Source: RNAcentral
GUUUACACGAGUGCCUUAAAUUG